Molecule: long non-coding RNA, 1362 nt
Organism: Cyprinus carpio (common carp)
Lineage: Eukaryota; Metazoa; Chordata; Actinopteri; Cypriniformes; Cyprinidae
Exons: 3
Source: RefSeq, a predicted model, not a curated record
CGUUGCCACACGUGUCACAAGAAAGGCAGUAGCCUAUGUAAAGUGUGGAGACAAAAUUGAAGUAGAGCAACACAGAUUUACGGCAUUCAGUGUUGUAACAGAUGGAAAUAACACUUACAUUUCAUCGAAGAAUGGUGAGACCCCAGAAUUUGAAGAAGGGGCCAGCUACGUGGUGAAAAACCACACCAUAUCUAGCAAGUAUGGAAAGCCAAGUAUAUUUGUAAAAUCAGCCACAAGCAAAUUUAAAACAUCCCAACUGAGUCUUACUGAAGAUCAGGAGAGAAGGGCCAGAGAGAUCCUUGUUCCACAUUCCCCUCUGGUCUCCGUGGACAAAGUGGACCCUUCAGAAGAUGGGUACGUCAGUCUCCUGGGAGAGAUAGAGGAAGUAAGUACAUUUAACAGAGGCAUCUCAUGCGUAAUGCAGUGCAGUGACUUCAUUCUCAUAAACAAAUGCAAAUUUAACAAACCUUAAAAAAAAAAAACUAUGUUGAAUGUUUACAAAUUGCUCUUGUCACUUUGUCGUAGAGCACUAUGCACCAGUCUUAAUCUGCUUAAAGUCAAACACACGUUAAAGGAAUAGUAAUCAUAAUUUAUAAAAUUCUUUGUUCUGCUGAACACAAAAGUUGUUAUAUGUAAGAAUGUUUGUAAUCAAGCAGUUUUAGGUCACCACUGACUUCCAUAGUAUGAAAAAAAAAGUAAUAUCAAUCAAACUGCAGUUUAUAUAUAUAUGGUGCCCCGGAACUGUCAGGUUACAAACAUUCUUACAAACACCUUCCUUCGGAUUUAGAAGAGCAAAGAAAAUCAUACAGGUUUGGAACAACCUGAGGGUGAGUUAAUUAUGACAAUAUUCAAUUUGGGUUGAACUAUCCUUUAUGGGAUAUUAUAAAUCUGCAGAAUAUAGCAUGAAAGAUAUGUGGGCAACCUUCAUGCUUUUUUGGUAGGGGCAUGUUCGAGUACUGCACUGUAACAGAACGCCAGUAAUGUUACCUCUGGUAUGUGAUUUGUAGUUGCAGGAGGUGAGGAUGGCACAGGUGCAAUUUGGUAAAGUGCCCGUCCUGGACUUUAAGCUAAACUGCAACUCAAGAGCAGUUGAGGUUUCUCUGUGGAGAGAUGAGGCUCUUAUCGAGGUGUUAAAUGGAGACACUGUGGAGCUGACCCACCUCCGCCCAAACACUAAACCGAAUGGAAACAUUAAAUUCAAUUCUUCCACAUACACCACCGUAAAGGUUUCAGAAAGGCGGCUCAUUGAGGAGACGGUGGAGGUGAUCGGAGUGUCUUCCGGAAUGGGCGUGAUCGUGCUUCUGGGGGUCGAUUAUGAGGAGUACAUUGUCCCAGACACAAUGUAUUCAGGAGACGUUGAGG